This 23-nucleotide small nuclear RNA is filed under the name Arabidopsis thaliana (thale cress). RNAcentral's name for it is "snRNA_03516". The record is from RNAcentral. Lineage: Eukaryota; Viridiplantae; Streptophyta; Magnoliopsida; Brassicales; Brassicaceae.
UUGUUACACUUUGCGCCGUUCUC